This is a non-coding RNA of Myotis davidii, 75 nucleotides long. NCBI's taxonomy places the organism in Eukaryota, Metazoa, Chordata, Mammalia, Chiroptera, Vespertilionidae. The record is from Rfam.
GAGACACCCCUAUGGAGCAGGCUUGCUUCAGUGGAGCUUUGGUGCUCACUGAGUCUGCCCCUUGAGUGUGUCACC